This is a long non-coding RNA of Salvelinus namaycush (lake trout), 406 nucleotides long. RefSeq lists it as uncharacterized. The transcript has 5 exons. The record is from RefSeq and is a predicted model, not a curated record. Lineage: Eukaryota; Metazoa; Chordata; Actinopteri; Salmoniformes; Salmonidae.
AAAACACUGAGAGAAAGGUAUGUGUCGCAGAUGUCUCCUGUGAAGAAGUCCAUAACGUCAAAUAAUUAAAGCAUCCCAGGGUUAUUGCUCUAGUUAUUGUUAUAAAACAACUUGUCAGAGUGCAUUGGAGAGUAUUCCUGUCCUGUCUCUUCAUAAUAGUAUUGCAGGUCUACAUAAAAGCCCCAAAAGACAGCCGUGGUGUCGCUCUUCAUUUCUUGGAUCUUCUGUGGUACACAUAAAGACCGCUAGAGACGUACAGUUGCUCUCAGAGGGAUGGUGGUUUAUGAAGACACAAUCCUGGAGCUCCAUUAGUUAGAGUCCCCUCCACUGAGACAUCAAAACGUCCCCACAAUUCACAAGGAGGGGUGUGUCACUUGAGUGGGUUGAGUCACAGACGUGAUCUUCC